This 497-nucleotide ribosomal RNA is filed under the name uncultured bacterium. Its description in RNAcentral is "partial 16S ribosomal RNA". It matches the Rfam family "Bacterial small subunit ribosomal RNA", at positions 28 to 506 of the family's 1533-position model. The record is from RNAcentral.
GAUGAACGCUGGCGGCGUGCCUAAUACAUGCAAGUCGAGCGAACAGACGAGGAGCUUGCUCCUCUGACGUUAGCGGCGGACGGGUGAGUAACACGUGGAUAACCUACCUAUAAGACUGGGAUAACUUCGGGAAACCGGAGCUAAUACCGGAUAAUAUAUUGAACCGCAUGGUUCAAUAGUGAAAGACGGUUUUGCUGUCACUUAUAGAUGGAUCCGCGCCGCAUUAGCUAGUUGGUAAGGUAACGGCUUACCAAGGCGACGAUGCGUAGCCGACCUGAGAGGGGGGUGCGCCCAACCGGGAAUUAGGAACGGUCCAGAACCCCAAGGGGGGGAAGCGGUGGGAAAUUUUCCGAAAUGGGGAAAGCCCGAAGGGGGCAACGCGCGGUGGGGAAGAAAGGCUUUGGAUUCGUAAACCCUUUUUUUUGGGAAAAAAAAAAUGGUAAGGAAACUUUCCCAGUUUUGAGGGACCUUAAUAAAAAAGCCAGGGCAAACUCGGG